Long non-coding RNA from Saccostrea echinata, 155 nucleotides. RefSeq lists it as uncharacterized. The record is from RefSeq and is a predicted model, not a curated record. The transcript has 3 exons. Lineage: Eukaryota; Metazoa; Mollusca; Bivalvia; Ostreida; Ostreidae.
UACUUUAUGUGGUGGAAAAUGUAACUGUUCUCCUACAGAGUGUGACCCCAAGAAUGGAUGUCUAGAAGGAAGAAGUGGCUGUUCCGCUGGAGUCCUGGAGGAUAUUAACCAAACGUGUUGUUAUAAUUAUUACAAAGUAAAUAACACUUGCCAAG